GUACAACUUUCAGCAUGGAUGUC
This 23-nucleotide ribosomal RNA is filed under the name Ditylum brightwellii. RNAcentral describes it as "partial 5.8S ribosomal RNA". The record is from RNAcentral. Lineage: Eukaryota; Bacillariophyta; Thalassiosirophyceae; Lithodesmiales; Lithodesmiaceae.